AGUGAACGCUGGCGGCGUGUUUAACACAUGCAGGUCGAACGAGAACGGAUUAUAGCUUGCUAUAAUUGUCAGCUAAGUGGCGCACGGGUGAGUAAUGUAUAGGUAAUAUGCCUCUUACUAAGGGAUAACAAAUGGAAACGUUUGCUAAUACCUUAUACUCCUUAUUAACAGAAGUUAAUAAGGGAAAGAUUUAUUGGUAAGAGAUUAGCCUGUAUUGUAUCAGUUAGUUGGUGGGGUAAUGGCUUACCAAGACUAUGACACAUAACUGGUUUGAGAGGAUGAUCAGUCACACUGGAACUGAGACACGGUCCAGACUCCUACGGGAGGCAGCAGUGGGGAAUAUUGCACAAUGGACGGAAGUCUGAUGCAGCAACGCCGCGUGGAGGAUGACACAUUUCGGUGCGUAAACUCCUUUUAUAUGAGAAGAUAAUGACGGUAUUAUAUGAAUAAGCACCGGCUAACUCCGUGCCAGCAGCCGCGGUAA
RNAcentral lists this ribosomal RNA (484 nucleotides) under uncultured bacterium. RNAcentral describes it as "partial 16S ribosomal RNA". It matches the Rfam family "Bacterial small subunit ribosomal RNA", at positions 29 to 523 of the family's 1533-position model. The record is from RNAcentral.